Molecule: non-coding RNA, 364 nt
Organism: Cicer arietinum (chickpea)
Lineage: Eukaryota; Viridiplantae; Streptophyta; Magnoliopsida; Fabales; Fabaceae
Source: RefSeq, a predicted model, not a curated record
UUAAAACAAUAUUUCUUCUGUUUUUUUAUUUUUUAUUUUAUUUUAACAAUUCUUUUGUUCUUGAAGGGUUCUUGGAAAGACCAGGUUAUACACAACUGCAGAUUGAUCAUGAGGACCAUGCUGCCGAGUUUCUGAAUUUAUACACAAUUGCAGAUUCUGCCCACAAAAGGCUCCAUCCAAAGAGUUGAUAACACAAGCAAUAAGACAUCAACACUGCUCAAAAGAAUUUGAUACUUAGAAUUCAAGAUUGAUUAUAGGAAUUUUGUAAAGUAGAGAUAGGAUAUAUUUGAUACUGAAUUCAACACCGCUUGUUCUAUUGUAAAAUAUUUUUAAAUAUAAUGAAUUGAGUAUCUUUGUUUCACUA